This 506-nucleotide ribosomal RNA is filed under the name uncultured Bacillus sp. Its description in RNAcentral is "bacterial SSU rRNA". It matches the Rfam family "Bacterial small subunit ribosomal RNA", at positions 379 to 876 of the family's 1533-position model. Lineage: Bacteria; Bacillati; Bacillota; Bacilli; Caryophanales; Bacillaceae. The record is from RNAcentral.
AAGUCUGACGGAGCAACGCCGCGUGAACGAUGAAGGCCUUCGGGUCGUAAAGUUCUGUUGUCAGGGAAGAACAAGUACCGGAGUAACUGCCGGUACCUUGACGGUACCUGACCAGAAAGCCACGGCUAACUACGUGCCAGCAGCCGCGGUAAUACGUAGGUGGCAAGCGUUGUCCGGAAUUAUUGGGCGUAAAGCGCGCGCAGGCGGUUCCUUAAGUCUGAUGUGAAAGCCCCCGGCUCAACCGGGGAGGGUCAUUGGAAACUGGGGAACUUGAGUGCAGAAGAGGAGAGCGGAAUUCCACGUGUAGCGGUGAAAUGCGUAGAGAUGUGGAGGAACACCAGUGGCGAAGGCGGCUCUCUGGUCUGUAACUGACGCUGAGGCGCGAAAGCGUGGGGAGCGAACAGGAUUAGAUACCCUGGUAGUCCACGCCGUAAACGAUGAGUGCUAAGUGUUAGAGGGUUUCCGCCCUUUAGUGCUGCAGCAAACGCAUUAAGCACUCCGCCUGG